Molecule: long non-coding RNA, 1086 nt
Filed under: Capra hircus (goat)
Lineage: Eukaryota; Metazoa; Chordata; Mammalia; Artiodactyla; Bovidae
Description: lncRNA (ENSCHIG00010021902.1)
Source: RNAcentral
UGUUCCUGGUUCCAUUAUGAUUGAAGACUGGCUGCAUCUUUGCUGUUCUAAGAAAGCCUAUCCAUUCUAGCUGUUGAUUAGUUGGGUGUCUGCUAUUUGAAGUCACUAGUCCUAAUUAAUACAUUUGGCCAAGGACAAGGCUGAUGGAAUCGUAGAAUCUUGAAGGAGUCUUUGAGAACAAUCUCAUAGCAUUAAGAAAAACCCUAAGAGGUGGCCAUCCAACCUCUGCUUGGCAAGNNNNNNNNNNNNNNNNCUCAGCAAAGCAACCCAUUCCACAGUCUCUGACAGUUAGACUCUGUCUCCUAAACACCUAGCCUAAAUCUCUCUUUUGGAAUUUUACACUUCCUAGGCUCACUGUUAGCGAGUUCGAGCUCCUACUGCUCAUCACACGACAGGCCAAUAAAUAGACAAGUUGUUGGGCAAGGAUUAGCGACUUUAUUCAAAAACCAGUCAACUGAGAAGGUGGUGGACUUGUCUUCUGAAGAACCAUCUUCCUGAGUUAGAACUCAGGUUUCUUUUAUAGUAAAAGGGGAGAGAGUAAAGUCAAACACUUCCUAGUUCCCAUCAACCUUCGGAGGGGAUGUGUUGAUUUCUUCCUGCCUGCAGUCAUCCACAGGUGGGAGGAUGUUUCCUGAGAGCUAAACAAAGGUUCUCUAGCUUAACGUUCAUUACUUGAGAGGCAAGGUUCCUAGAGUUGGGCCAUUAUGUAUAAUUUAAACUUAUAGGCAGUGUCCUUUUAUCAAUUAACUUGUAACAGAAUACAAAAUUUCUCUCCUAUCACAACUCCUCACUGUCAGUGUCUACUCUACCAUCUGAUGGGAAAAGGACAAAUACUGCUGUGGCUACUUGCAGAGAGAACCAGAUUCAGGAGGAGCUUCAAUCAAAAUGGUGGAGAAGGACAUGGAAGCUACCUCCCUCCUACAAAUACAUCAAAAAUAAUCUACAAAUGGAACAGUUCUCACAGAGCACCUAUAGAACGUUAGCAGAAGACCUCGAACACCUGAAAGGACAAGAAAGAUCCCACAGAACUGGGUAGGACAAAAGGGAUAAAAAAAAGAGGAAGUGAGAUAGGACCUGUGCCCCUGA